GUGCACGCUGGCGGUAGGCCUAACCCCUGCAAGUCGCACGGCAGCACAGUAAGAGCUUGCUCUUCCGGGUGGCGAGUGGCGGACGGGUGAGGAAUACAUCGGAAUCUACUUUUUCGUGGGGGAUAACGUAGGGAAACUUACGCUAAUACCGCAUACGACCUACGGGUGAAAGCAGGGGAUCUUCGGACCUUGCGCGAUUGAAUGAGCCGAUGUCGGAUUAGCUAGUUGGCGGGGUAAAGGCCCACCAAGGCGACGAUCCGUAGCUGGUCUGAGAGGAUGAUCAGCCACACUGGAACUGAGACACGGUCCAGACUCCUACGGGAGGCAGCAGUGGGGAAUAUUGGACAAUGGGCGCAAGCCUGAUCCAGCCAUACCGCGUGGGUGAAGAAGGCCUUCGGGUUGUAAAGCCCUUUUGUUGGGAAAGAAAAGCAGCAGGUUAAUACCCCGCUGUUCUGACGGUACCCAAAGAAUAAGCACCGGCUAACUUCGUG
RNAcentral lists this ribosomal RNA (491 nucleotides) under uncultured bacterium. RNAcentral's name for it is "partial 16S ribosomal RNA". It matches the Rfam family "Bacterial small subunit ribosomal RNA", at positions 29 to 507 of the family's 1533-position model. The record is from RNAcentral.